RNAcentral lists this transfer RNA (69 nucleotides) under Toxotes chatareus (largescale archerfish). RNAcentral's name for it is "tRNA-Ser". Lineage: Eukaryota; Metazoa; Chordata; Actinopteri; Toxotidae. The record is from RNAcentral.
GAGAGAGGCUAAGUAAGCACCGAAAACUGCUAAUUUUCGCCACCUUGGUUAGACUCCAGGGCUCACUCG